UGCAGUCGAACGAUGAACCACUUCGGUGGGGAUUAGUGGCGAACGGGUGAGUAACACGUGGGCAAUCUGCCCUUCACUCUGGGACAAGCCCUGGAAACGGGGUCUAAUACCGGAUAUCACUCCCGCAGGCAUCUGCGGGUGUCGAAAGCUCCGGCGGUGAAGGAUGAGCCCGCGGCCUAUCAGCUUGUUGGUGAGGUAAUGGCUCACCAAGGCGACGACGGGUAGCCGGCCUGAGAGGGCGACCGGCCACACUGGGACUGAGACACGGCCCAGACUCCUACGGGAGGCAGCAGUGGGGAAUAUUGCACAAUGGGCGAAAGCCUGAUGCAGCGACGCCGCGUGAGGGAUGACGGCCUUCGGGUUGUAAACCUCUUUCAGCAGGGAAGAAGCGAAAGUGACGGUACCUGCAGAAGAAGCGCCGGCUAACUACGUGCCAGCAGCCGCGGUAAUACGUAGGGCGCAAGCGUUGUCCGGAAUUAUUGGGCGUAAAGAGCUCGUAGGCGGCUUGUCACGUCGGGUGUGAAAGCCCGGGGCUUAACCCCGGGUCUGCAUUCGAUACGGGCUAGCUAGAGUGUGGUAGGGGAGAUCGGAAUUCCUGGUGUAGCGGUGAAAUGCGCAGAUAUCAGGAGGAACACCGGUGGCGAAGGCGGAUCUCUGGGCCAUUACUGACGCUGAGGAGCGAAAGCGUGGGAGCGAACA
This 699-nucleotide ribosomal RNA is filed under the name Streptomyces bungoensis. RNAcentral describes it as "bacterial SSU rRNA". It matches the Rfam family "Bacterial small subunit ribosomal RNA", at positions 56 to 774 of the family's 1533-position model. Lineage: Bacteria; Bacillati; Actinomycetota; Actinomycetes; Kitasatosporales; Streptomycetaceae. The record is from RNAcentral.